This is a long non-coding RNA of Triticum dicoccoides, 438 nucleotides long. RefSeq lists it as uncharacterized. NCBI's taxonomy places the organism in Eukaryota, Viridiplantae, Streptophyta, Magnoliopsida, Poales, Poaceae. The transcript has 2 exons. The record is from RefSeq and is a predicted model, not a curated record.
AAAAUGUUGAAGCCCGUGGCAUCAUCUUCCUCGUCGGCCCGGUUCUGGGCCGUCAUCGCCGCUGCACUGAUCUUGUGUGCGGCCAACGUUGAGCUUGUCCAUGGAGGUGGAAGGCCUGUGCCUAGACCUCCAGCUCCGGUAGGGCAUGUGGCUCCCAAGGAGCACUGCCCUGACUGCAGCGACAACCCGCCACCGUCGCCGCCGCCGCUUCCUCCUACUCCUCCGGCAGCUGCAGCAGGCGUACCUCCUGCUAGCGGCCAUGUGUGAUGUAGGCUUUGCGCGCUCCUCCGGACGCUGCAGAAAUUUCAAUGUUUACUACAGUCCGUUUGACGACUUGCCUCAACGGUAGUACUACUAGUUAUGGUUUUCUUUGAGGCGACACUGGUACUAGUUGUAUUGCAUGGAUAUGUUUGUUUAUUCAGUUUUGCUAUUUCUCAA